UACGGAGGGUGCAAGCGUUAUCCGGAUUCACUGGGUUUAAAGGGUGCGUAGGUGGGCUGGUAAGUCAGUGGUGAAAUCUCCAGGCUUAACUUGGAAACUGCCAUUGAUACUAUCAGUCUUGAAUACCGUGGAGGUCAGCGGAAUAUGUCAUGUAGCGGUGAAAUGCUUAGAUAUGACAUAGAACACCAGUUGCGAAGGCAGCUGGCUACACGAAUAUUGACACUGAUGCACGAAAGCGUGGGGAUCAAACAGG
Molecule: ribosomal RNA, 253 nt
Filed under: uncultured bacterium
Lineage: Bacteria
Description: partial 16S ribosomal RNA
Rfam family: Bacterial small subunit ribosomal RNA
Source: RNAcentral